RNAcentral lists this unclassified non-coding RNA (335 nucleotides) under soil metagenome. RNAcentral's name for it is "partial contains 5.8S ribosomal RNA, internal transcribed spacer 2, and large subunit ribosomal RNA". The stretch from base 1 to 120 matches the Rfam family "5.8S ribosomal RNA", at positions 35 to 154 of the family's 154-position model. The record is from RNAcentral.
GAUGAAGAACGCAGCGAAAUGCGACAAGUAAUGUGAAUUGCAGAAUUCAGUGAAUCAUCGAGUCUUUGAACGCACAUUGCGCCCAUUAGUAUUCUAGUGGGCAUGCCUGUUCGAGCGUCAUUUCAACCCUUAAGCCUAGCUUAGUAUUGGGAAUCGACUUUACUGUCGUUCCUCAAAUUCAACGGCGGAUUUAUAGCAAUCUCUGAACGUAGUAAUUUUUUUCCUCGUUUUUGAAAUACUAUAAACCUCAGCCGCUAAACCCCCAAUUUUUCUAUGGUUGACCUCGGAUCAGGUAGGAAUACCCGCUGAACUUAAGCAUAUCAAUAAGCGGAGGA